CUCUUUGGCCGCACAAAUCUCCUCCAAGCAAAGUGGACGCACGUGGACUCCCUAAAAAAAAAGUGGACGCACGUGGGCGGCCACCGGCGAAGGGGGUCGAGCCCGAUCCCGCGGCGCGGCUGCGCCUACUCUCCCUCGCCUCUCCGGCCGCACAACUCUCUCCCUAAGCACGACGUUGGUGCAUGCAGGACGGCCGCCGGCGAACGAGGCCAUGCGCGAGACCGCAGCGAGGCGUCGCGGAGCCCUCUGCUCCGGUUUGUGAUCCGCGCAUCAGUCACCUCCAUCGCCACCGCGAGUCGCCUUCUCCUCCGUCGCUAGGAAUCCGGAAGCCGGCAAGGUAACUGAUCUCGGUGAACGAGGCCGCGCGCGAGACCGCGGCGAGGCGGCGCGGAGCCCUCUGCUCCUUGCCGGUUUGUGAUUCGCACCGGUCACCUCCAUCGCCACCGUGAGUCACAUCCUCCUUCGCCGCCGGGAAUCCCGUCGCCGGCAAGGUAACCUCUCUCCCUGGUCCUCACGCCCUGCUUGCUGCGUGUGUGUGAUGUGUGGGUGCUUAUGUUGUGUGCUUGCUAGCUUGUCGAUGAUGGCCUACUACUGUAUACGUAUGAUUUUGGAGUCAGACUGUCAGAUUAUGAUCUAUGCACUUGAGGAAAGGGAUUAUGAUGUUGCUGAAUUGGGAGUCCUCUUUCGCGAAGCCAGAAGUUUGGUGUUGGGGAUUUCAAGCCCCUUACUUAAUUUGUUUCAAUUUUGGUUAGCAGCGAUUUACCUGUGCACCAAGUUUGAGUGGAAUACAUUUUUCCAUUCAAGAAAAACUUGGUGGAUUAAUUUGUUUUAUCCGGCGAGCACCAGUGAUGGUGCACGAUGACGGGCUUACUGGACCAGAAGAUAUCUGUACUCUUCUCAAUGGUGCAAAGUUGAGGUGUUCUCAAAUCUCACUGGCCUAUUUUAUUUUACUACUGACUCUUGAAUGCUCUCUUUUUUCUGAUUUGGUUGUCUCUCUAUUCUUAUGUUCUUUACUUCCAAUUUCAACUUUCCAAGGAUUUAGUUAAAAAAAUUCAAGGAUUGUUCUUCUCAUGCCUUCUGUUGCCUGUUCAAGGAUUGUGCUGCAAUUUGGGGAGAGAUGGAGAACAUGGAGCCUUGGGCAGCUUAGGUAAAUCCUUCCUUAAGCGCAGUUGCCUUCUGGUCCAUAGUAAUGACUCUGGAUAAAGACGAAAUAGAGAACAUAAUCUUGGUGGAGGCAUCUCAAUGGAGAUGGGAAAGUGUUGCAGAAGUGGAUUUAUUGGGUUGGGGAAAUAGAAAAAAGAAAUCUUGCUUGGUUUUUGUAUUCUCUUCCUGAUGUAUUUUUUAUGUAUUAUCGGCAUGGAAUAGAUGAUCCCUCUCACUUAAGUUGAUAUUGUUGUCUUAUA
Non-coding RNA from Triticum urartu, 1403 nucleotides. The record is from RefSeq and is a predicted model, not a curated record. Lineage: Eukaryota; Viridiplantae; Streptophyta; Magnoliopsida; Poales; Poaceae.